This 1852-nucleotide ribosomal RNA is filed under the name Paenibacillus sp. OK060. RNAcentral describes it as "bacterial LSU rRNA". It matches the Rfam family "Bacterial large subunit ribosomal RNA", at positions 1 to 1841 of the family's 2925-position model. The record is from RNAcentral. Lineage: Bacteria; Bacillati; Bacillota; Bacilli; Caryophanales; Paenibacillaceae.
UAUGGUUAAGCUACUAAGAGCACACGGAGGAUGCCUAGGCGCUAGGAGCCGAUGAAGGACGUGGCGAACAACGAAACUGCCUCGGGGAGCUGUAAGCAAGCUUUGAUCCGGGGGUGUCCGAAUGGGGAAACCCAGCUGGGGUAAUUUCCAGUUACUCAUAACUGAAUACAUAGGUUAUGUAGAGGCAUACCAAGGGAACUGAAACAUCUAAGUACCUUGAGGAAGAGAAAACAAUAGUGAUUCCGUCAGUAGCGGCGAGCGAACGCGGAGAAGCCCAAACCAGAGAGCUUGCUCUUUGGGGUUGUGGGACAUCUCACAUGGAGUUACAAAGGAACCGGUUAAGCGAAGAGGUCUGGAAAGGCCCGCCAAAGAAGGUAAAAGCCCUGUACUUGAAAGUCUGUUCCCUCCGAGAUGUAUCCCGAGUAGUGCGGGGCACGUGAAACCCCGUAUGAAUCCGGCAGGACCAUCUGCCAAGGCUAAAUACUUCCUAGCGACCGAUAGUGAAGCAGUACCGUGAGGGAAAGGUGAAAAGCACCCCGGAAGGGGAGUGAAAUAGAACCUGAAACCGUGUGCUUACAAAAAGUCAGAGCCCGUUUUAGGGGUGAUGGCGUGCCUUUUGUAGAAUGAACCGGCGAGUUACGUUCCCGUGCAAGGUUAAGGUGAAGAGCCGGAGCCGCAGCGAAAGCGAGUCUGAAUAGGGCGACUUAGUACGUGGACGUAGACCCGAAACCGGGUGAUCUACCCCUGUCCAGGGUGAAGGUGCGGUAACACGCACUGGAGGCCCGAACCCACGCAUGUUGAAAAAUGCGGGGAUGAGGUGGGGGUAGCGGAGAAAUUCCAAUCGAACUCGGAGAUAGCUGGUUCUCCCCGAAAUAGCUUUAGGGCUAGCCUCGGAAAACAGAGUCGUGGAGGUAGAGCACUGAUUGGGUGCGGGGCCCGCAAGGGUUACCAAGCUCAGUCAAACUCCGAAUGCCAUAGACUUACUUCCGGGAGUCAGACAGUGAGUGCUAAGAUCCAUUGUCAAAAGGGAAACAGCCCAGACCAUCAGCUAAGGUCCCCAAGUGUGUGUUAAGUGGGAAAGGAUGUGGAGUUGCACAGACAACCAGGAUGUUGGCUUAGAAGCAGCCACCAUUGAAAGAGUGCGUAAUAGCUCACUGGUCGAGUGACUCUGCGCCGAAAAUGUAACGGGGCUAAACACACCACCGAAGCUAUGGCUUGAUGCUUUGCAUCAGGGGUAGGGGAGCGUUGUAUAAGGGUUGAAGGUGUACCGUAAGGAGCGCUGGACAUUAUACAAGUGAGAAUGCCGGUAUGAGUAACGAAAAGAUCAGUGAGAAUCUGAUCCGCCGAAAGCCUAAGGGUUCCUGAGGAAGGCUCGUCCGCUCAGGGUAAGUCGGGACCUAAGGCGAGGCCGAAAGGCGUAGUCGAAGGACAACAGGUCGAAAUUCCUGUACCACCGUAAGCCGUUAUGAGCAAUGGGGGGACGCAGCAGGGUAGUGACGCGGACUGAUGGAUGUCCGUCUAAGCAGUGAGGCUGAUGUGUAGGCAAAUCCGCACAUCGUUAAGGCUGGGCUGUGAUGGGGAGCGAAAAUUAUAGUAGCGAAGGUCAUGAUCUCACACUGCCAAGAAAAGCCUCUAGCCAGGUGAUGGUGCCCGUACCGCAAACCGACACAGGUAGGCGAGAAGAGAAUUCUAAGGCGCGCGGAAGAACUCUCGUUAAGGAACUCGGCAAAAUGACCCCGUAACUUCGGGAGAAGGGGUGCCCCGGUAGUGUGAAUAGCACGAGGGGGCCGCAGUGAAAAGGCCCAAGCGACUGUUUAGCAAAAACACAGGUCUGUGCGAAGCCGUAAGGCGA